This is a long non-coding RNA of Belonocnema kinseyi, 1590 nucleotides long. RefSeq lists it as uncharacterized. The transcript has 4 exons. Lineage: Eukaryota; Metazoa; Arthropoda; Insecta; Hymenoptera; Cynipidae. The record is from RefSeq and is a predicted model, not a curated record.
UGAAUUUCGUAUUGAGUGAACUGAAUUUAAAAAAGUAAAUGCGAGUUCCGCCCGCAUCUAAUGAAAUUCAUAUCCGUUUCUACAGACUUUCUGCUAUUACACACUUAAUAUGAAAAUUUUAAUCAGUCAUGCGGCUUUUAUGUUAAUUUUCGACCUUAAAUUACUAUCCACAAAGACAGGCUGACUUUACAUUUACCUCAAUAUCAUAAAUUACGUCAAUCGUAACGCCGCCGCGUACUUUGUUACAAGCUUCUUCCCGCCAAUUCGCCGCCAGCCGCGAGCUUCUGAGUUCAAUAGGGUUCCAGUUCGCGGCAUUUUAUACAUGCGACAAAUGCGUACAUGAUCUAAACAUUUUUGCUGGUGAAAAUGGGCGAAUUAAAUUCAGAUCCAAGCAUGACACAGUAUCCUGAAUCCGAAGGUAUCAAAUUUUGACUAUAAUAAAAUAUUUACUGAAGAGGGUCCAAGAUCAGGACCGAAACGUAUAGCUAACAUUUGCUUGUUUUUAUUGUAACUGACCUUUCCAAUCGACGACUGAUUGAGUGAUCUAACAUAAAUACAAGUUCGAGACGGAUUUAUCAACAAAAUUUAUUCCACUUAAUUGAAGAUGAUGUGUUACUAAAGAAGCCUCUGACGAAUCGAAACUUGAGUAUAUCGCAAAUACUAUCGACCCAACCCCUCAAUUAUUUCAGUAUUGGAAAGAGACCAGUCCAGUUCGUAAACAUGAGUUUGAUCAAGAAAAGAUAAGCAUAGUGGACUUAUUUAUAAAGUAUAAAUGCCUUCAAAUGCAGUUCGGUGCCGAACUGGUGAGCAUGAUGCCAUUAUCCUUUAUCCUUUGCCUACGCUUAUAAAGCCCAAAAAUCCGGGCCGUUCAGGGAAAAACGCUGAUGAUUUGGGUACCGAAGUACCAGUCAAAAAACAAAGGAAGAGUGGAAAAGCUGCACAAAAAACCCAAUCAAGAGCGUCCGAACCAGAAUCUCAAGAGGCUUUCUUCAUCGUGGUUCCGAUAUGUUGUAGAUUGGAAUCAACUAUAGCGGGACAACCUUUCCUCCUUUAGUUUAAAUUUUUUAUCUUAUCGCUUAGGAAAUUUAAGCAAUACUUUUCUUGCAAACUGCAGCGGGAAUCGAAGCAGCCUUGAAACGUUGAAAAGAAAAUCUUCAUAAACAGGACUUGUCUAUUCAGUUCUUGCCAGUUUUCGUAAGAACGUUAGAAAAGGUCGAAUCUUCGUAUGUUUAUAUAGACACUAAUAUCAUAUAUCGUGUUUAAAGCCCUAUGCUUGCUAUUGAUUUAUAUCUUAAGCUUUUUUUCGCUCUGGAUUGUGAAUAUCCUUUAGACGCGGCUCACGUCUGGUUAUUUAUCCAACAGAUUAGAUUUCGCAUAGUAGAUCCACUAGAUAAGUUUAGCGUGUCCAUGAAUACCUUGAAAGGUGAAAUAGAACAAGUUCUACCGGUAAAAUAGAAGAAGUUCUACCGGUGAUGGAACCGUAUAAUAACUGCUGGUUCCGUAUAGUUUUAAUUAUUUGUUUAAAUGAUCUCAUAUGAAAUGCAUAAUUUUCUUUAGUUCUACUGGUAAUAAAACCAAGUAAUAACUGGC